ACCUGUGUGUGACAAUAAUAGCUGAUGAGUCAGGACAACGGGGCUUUGUGACACUUCCAUCCCUUGUGUUGAGUCACCGGCCGGGAUGGGAUGGGUCCAGCUGGGAAAGCAACAUGCAGGAUGUGCCUCAAGCACAGAGCCAAACAGCAGGUCCUUUGGUACGCCUGCCUAUGUGAUCGAAGGCAAAUGGAGAUGGUACAUGCAAGCCAGGCUGGCUGCAGGCCCUCAGGCCAUGUCUGGACCAUCACACUGCCCUAUGCAGGCUCAAGCUCCCCAACACAGGCAGUCUUUCAGAUGCCUUAUGCCUAGAGCCAGCUCAACCCACCAUGCCAUUUGCAGGAGCCAAUUACAGCCCAGGUCUCAGGGAGUGGAGAGGAAUGCACAGUCACAAACUGAAGCAGCGGUGUCUUGCUUGUCCCAGACUUCAAAUCUAAGAUUUUGGUCUCAAAGAGAGAGCAUUCUACCCAGCACUGCAACACCCAGGAGAGGCAGUAUUAAGAGAUUAGCGGAACAGCUCGGAGCACCAUCAAGGCAAGUUUUGCUGUACAAUUAUUUUUUCAUCAGUGUCCAGUGUGUCACUGGUAGGGCUGAAGGUGCUAGGCAGCCAGAUCAA
Non-coding RNA from Meleagris gallopavo (turkey), 613 nucleotides. The record is from RefSeq and is a predicted model, not a curated record. NCBI's taxonomy places the organism in Eukaryota, Metazoa, Chordata, Aves, Galliformes, Phasianidae.